RNAcentral lists this ribosomal RNA (507 nucleotides) under uncultured bacterium. Its description in RNAcentral is "bacterial SSU rRNA". It matches the Rfam family "Bacterial small subunit ribosomal RNA", at positions 19 to 518 of the family's 1533-position model. The record is from RNAcentral.
CUGGCUCAGGAUGAACGCUAGCGGCAGGCUUAACACAUGCAAGUCGAGGGGCAGCGGGAUGUAGCAAUACAUUGCCGGCGACCGGCGGAUGGGUGCGUAACGCGUAUGCAACCUACCUUAUACAGGGGAAUAACCUUUCGAAAGGGAGACUAACACCCCAUGGUAUUGAUUUAAGGCAUCUUAGAUUAAUUAAAUAUUUAUAGGUAUAAGAUGGGCAUGCGUAUGAUUAGCUAGUUGGUAAGGUAACGGCUUACCAAGGCGACGAUCAUUAGGGGUUCUGAGAGGAAGGUCCCCCACACUGGUACUGAGACACGGACCAGACUCCUACGGGAGGCAGCAGUGAGGAAUAUUGGUCAAUGGGCGCAAGCCUGAACCAGCCAUGCCGCGUGCCAGGAAGACGGCCUUAUGGGUUGUAAACUGCUUUUACAUAAGACUAACCGUAUAUUUGCGAAUAUACCUGAAUGUAUUAUGAGAAUAAGGAUCGGCUAACUCCGUGCCAGCAGCCGC